UGUAUGGGAUGAAGGCCUUCGGGUUGUAAACCACUGUCGGGAGUUAAGAAUGGUAGGAAUGCUAAUAGUAUUUCUACUUGACUAAGGCUCCGGAGGAAGCCACGGCUAACUCUGUGCCAGCAGCCGCGGUAAUACAGAGGCGGCAAGCGUUGUUCGGAAUUAUUGGGCGUAAAGAGCAUGUAGGCGGCUAUGUAAGUCGGUUGUGAAAGCCUUCCGCUUAACGGAAGAAUGGCGGUCGAAACUGCAUGGCUUGAGUGCGGGAGGGGAGAGUGGAACUUCUGGUGGAGCGGUGAAAUGCGUAGAUAUCAGAAGGAACGUCGGCGGCGAAAGCGACUCUCUAGACCGUAACUGACGCUGAGUGUGCGAAAGCUAGGGGAGCAAACGGGAUUAGAUACCCCGGUAGUCCUAGCCGUAAACGAU
RNAcentral lists this ribosomal RNA (420 nucleotides) under uncultured anaerobic ammonium-oxidizing bacterium. RNAcentral's name for it is "bacterial SSU rRNA". It matches the Rfam family "Bacterial small subunit ribosomal RNA", at positions 400 to 810 of the family's 1533-position model. The record is from RNAcentral.